GGGAAUAUUGGACAAUGGGCGAAAGCCUGAUCCAGCAAUGCCGCGUGUGUGAAGAAGGUCUUCGGAUUGUAAAGCACUUUCGACGGGGACGAUGAUGACGGUACCCGUAGAAGAAGCCCCGGCUAACUUCGUGCCAG
Molecule: ribosomal RNA, 137 nt
Filed under: uncultured bacterium
Lineage: Bacteria
Description: partial 16S ribosomal RNA
Rfam family: Bacterial small subunit ribosomal RNA
Source: RNAcentral